GAGAGAGGGCCGCUCAAAACCAUAGGCCUAAUUUUCCCACUUGCGCCCUUUCUUUUUCUUUUUCUUGUUCUUGUUCUUGUUCUUGUUCUUCUCUGAAACCGUUUAUUUUCUGCCAUUUCUAUUUUCCUUGGGACGAUCUCGGGUUGAAGGCAAGAAUCAAGACAGCAGCUUCUAAGUGGUUCUCUUUUGUAAGUCUUUCUCUCCUAUGGGAGGAGAGAGGGCCGCUCAAAACCAUAGAACUAAUUUUCCUUUUCAUUUCUACACUUGCGCCCUUUCUUUUUCUUGUUCUGCUUGUUCUUCUUCUUCUCUGAAACCGUUUAUAUUCUGCCAUUUCUAUUUUCCUUGGGAUAUCUCGGGUUGAAGGCAAGAAUCAAGGCAGCAGCUUCUAAGUGGUUCUUUUUGAGAUGAGGCGGAUAGUUUCAAUGGGUAUCUUCAACUAAUUGAAGUAAUGAGGCAUGAAAUUCCAUAUUUGAGACAGUUGGACAAUUUCCGAUCUCUACUGCGGACGACGUAAGAUUUUAUUGUAAAGAUUCUUAGGAUUCCUAGUGUAAUGCAUAAUGUAAUACUCAUGAACGUUCAAAUUAGGGGGUUUCAGCUAAAAUCAGAUAGUUAAAACAAGAGAUAUGGGCAGUUCCUAGUGACAAAUUGAGUUGAGUUUUUUAAGUUGUUUACUCUUUACCCGAUUGAAAUUUUACAAUAUUUUAUCCACUGGAUUAAUAUACUUUGGUGUCUAUUCUACUUAUCAAUUAGCUUAUUUAUUUGUAAUGUUUAUUUAUUUAAUUUUUAAUUUAUUACUAUUUAAUCUUACUUGCUAAUUAUUUUGCGGUUCUUUUGAAAGAUUCUAUGGACAAAUCCAUUUUUCUGGAAGAAGGAUGAUAGAUUUAAAUACAUCCUGACGUUACAUGCGAUACUAAUUGGUGAAGAUUAUAGAUUUGGUCAACAAACGAUUAAUAGGAUUGGUGAUUUAGUACGAGAUGUGGUACUUGAUAUAGAAUAUCAAAGUGGAUUGCAAUGGACGGAUAUGGUUCCAACGUGGCGGCCAUAACGUGAUGUUAUUCUCUGUAAUAGAACUCUCUCUCUCUCUCUCCCCUCUUUCCCCUUUUAUUCCUUGACUUGUUUAUAGUUAUUCUUUUUGUAAUUUUUAACUGUUUUUGAAUCCUUGGUAAUGCAGGAACACCUUUUCAUGACUGGAAGCCCCCCCCCCCCCUUCUUCUUUCUAAAUGAAAUCUAUUUUGCUGAUAUUUCUAUGUAAUUAUUUCUUCUGUCUUGGGGUGUCAUGUUUCUUAUAUUACUUGGUUAGUACUAUUAUAUGGGCCUAGAAGUUUGCUUUUAUAUGUGUUUGUGUGCUUCUAUCUUAUGUACAUGUUAAGACUGAGAAGUUCUUCAUUUGAAGGUCUCUUAUUUUUUUGCUA
This is a long non-coding RNA of Macadamia integrifolia, 1412 nucleotides long. RefSeq lists it as uncharacterized. The record is from RefSeq and is a predicted model, not a curated record. Lineage: Eukaryota; Viridiplantae; Streptophyta; Magnoliopsida; Proteales; Proteaceae. The transcript is spliced from 2 exons.